GUUUACAGCCAUGCCUCCUUGAACGUGCCCGAUCUCUUCUGAUCUCAGAAGCUAAGUAGGUUUGGGCCUGGUUAGUACUUGAAUGGGAGACCAUCUAGGAAUACCAGGUGCUGCAAGUG
This is a ribosomal RNA of Pteropus vampyrus (large flying fox), 119 nucleotides long. The record is from Ensembl. NCBI's taxonomy places the organism in Eukaryota, Metazoa, Chordata, Mammalia, Chiroptera, Pteropodidae.